RNAcentral lists this ribosomal RNA (446 nucleotides) under uncultured bacterium. RNAcentral describes it as "partial 16S ribosomal RNA". It matches the Rfam family "Bacterial small subunit ribosomal RNA", at positions 338 to 795 of the family's 1533-position model. The record is from RNAcentral.
CCUACGGGAGGCAGCAGUCGAGAAUCAUUCACAAUGGGGGAAACCCUGAUGGUGCGACGCCGCGUGGGGGAAUGAAGGUCUUCGGAUUGUAAACCCCUGUCAUGUGGGAGCAAAUUAAAAAGAUAGUACCACAAGAGGAAGAGACGGCUAACUCUGUGCCAGCAGCCGCGGGAAUACAGAGGUCUCAAGCGUUGUUCGGAAUCACUGGGCGUAAAGCGUGCGUAGGCUGUUUCGUAAGUCGUGUGUGAAAGGCGCGGGCUCAACCCGCGGACGGCACAUGAUACUGCGAGACUAGAGUAAUGGAGGGGGAACCGGAAUUCUCGGUGUAGCAGUGAAAUGCGUAGAUAUCGAGAGGAACACUCGGGGCGAAGGCGGGUUCCUGGACAUUAACUGACGCUGAGGCACGAAGGCCAGGGGAGCGAAAGGGAUUAGAUACCCCAGUAGUC